AAUGAGGUAAGCAAAGUUUAAGCUAUUAGGGUCAUACCCUGAAAAUACUUUUGUUCUUAUUA
This 62-nucleotide transfer RNA is filed under the name Gnathostomula paradoxa. Its description in RNAcentral is "tRNA-Met". The record is from RNAcentral. Lineage: Eukaryota; Metazoa; Gnathostomulida; Bursovaginoidea; Gnathostomulidae.